Molecule: non-coding RNA, 70 nt
Organism: Oncorhynchus tshawytscha (Chinook salmon)
Lineage: Eukaryota; Metazoa; Chordata; Actinopteri; Salmoniformes; Salmonidae
Source: Ensembl
AUCUUUCUAGUAUUAACACGUAUAAGUGACUUCCAAUCACCCGGUCUUGGUUAAAAUCCAAGGAAAGAUA